RNAcentral lists this ribosomal RNA (497 nucleotides) under uncultured bacterium. RNAcentral describes it as "partial 16S ribosomal RNA". It matches the Rfam family "Bacterial small subunit ribosomal RNA", at positions 28 to 507 of the family's 1533-position model. The record is from RNAcentral.
GAUGAACGCUGGCGGCGUGCCUAAUACAUGCAAGUCGAGCGAACGGACGAGAAGCUUGCUUCUCUGAUGUUAGCGGCGGACGGGUGAGUAACGCGUGGAUAACCUACCUAUAAGACUGGGAUAACUUCGGGAAACCGGAGCUAAUACCGGAUAAUAUUUUGAACCGCAUGGUUCAAAAGUGAAAGACGGUCUUGCUGUCACUUAUAGAUGGAUCCGCGCUGCAUUAGCUAGUUGGUAAGGUAACGGCUUACCAAGGCAACGAUGCAUAGCCGACCUGAGAGGGUGACCGGCCACACUGGAACUGAGACACGGUCCAGACUCCUACGGGAGGCAGCAGUAGGGAAUCUUCCGCAAUGGGCGAAAGCCUGACGGAGCAACGCCGCGUGAGUGAUGAAGGUCUUCGGAUCGUAAAACUCUGUUAUUAGGGAAGAACAUAUGUGUAAGUAACUGUGCACAUCUUGACGGUACCUAAUCAGAAAGCCACGGCUAACUACGUG